This is a long non-coding RNA of Haliotis rubra (blacklip abalone), 252 nucleotides long. RefSeq lists it as uncharacterized. The record is from RefSeq and is a predicted model, not a curated record. The transcript has 3 exons. NCBI's taxonomy places the organism in Eukaryota, Metazoa, Mollusca, Gastropoda, Lepetellida, Haliotidae.
GUCUUAGAGAGGAUAGAACGGCGCUGACAAACAUGAAAGGUCUUACACAAACGGUUUUGUUUCUGGGUGUUGUCGCAACCAUGUGCGGGACACUCAGUAUGGCUGAUUGCAGUGGAGACUCUACAUGCAGUGGACACGGAACCUGUGAACUGGCUAAAACGUGCACCUGCGACACUGGUUUCAUUGGUGACUUGUGUGAAUAUGAUGAUCCAUGCCUACCUGAUCCAUGUAAUGGCAAAGGAAAAUGUACAC